CCUACGGGCGGCAGCAGUGGGGAAUAUUGGACAAUGGGGGGAACCCUGAUCCAGCCAUGCCGCGUGUGUGAAGAAGGCCCUCGGGUUGUAAAGCACUUUCAGUGAGGAAGAACGCCUGGUGGUUAAUACCCAUCAGGAAAGACAUCACUCACAGAAGAAGCACCGGCUAACUCCGUGUCAGCAGCCGCGGUAAUACGGAGGGUGCGAGCGUUAAUCGGAAUUACUGGGCGUAAAGCGCGCGUAGGUGGCUUGAUAAGCCGGUUGUGAAAGCCCCGGGCUCAACCUGGGAACGGCAUCCGGAACUGUCAAGCUAGAGUGCAGGAGAGGAAGGUAGAAUUCCCGGUGUAGCGGUGAAAUGCGUAGAGAUCGGGAGGAAUACCAGUGGCGAAGGCGGCCUUCUGGACUGACACUGACACUGAGGUGCGAAAGCGUGGGUAGCAAACAGGAUUAGAUACCCCUGUAGUC
Molecule: ribosomal RNA, 465 nt
Filed under: Vreelandella stevensii
Lineage: Bacteria; Pseudomonadati; Pseudomonadota; Gammaproteobacteria; Oceanospirillales; Halomonadaceae
Description: partial 16S ribosomal RNA
Rfam family: Bacterial small subunit ribosomal RNA
Source: RNAcentral